CAGACAAACUCCGAAUGCCAAUUAAUUUAACUUGGGAGUCAGAACAUGGGUGAUAAGGUCCGUGUUCGAAAGGGAAACAGCCCAGACCACCAGCUAAGGUCCCAAAAUAUAUGUUAAGUGGAAAAGGAUGUGGCGUUGCCCAGACAACUAGGAUGUUGGCUUAGAAGCAGCCAUCAUUUAAAGAGUGCGUAAUAGCUCACUAGUCGAGUGACACUGCGCCGAAAAUGUACCGGGGCUAAACAUAUUACCGAAGCUGUGGAUUGUCCUUUGGACAAUGGUAGGAGAGCGUUCUAAGGGCGUUGAAGCAUGAUCGUAAGGACAUGUGGAGCGCUUAGAAGUGAGAAUGCCGGUGUGAGUAGCGAAAGACGGGUGAGAAUCCCGUCCACCGAUUGACUAAGGUUUCCAGAGGAAGGCUC
This 416-nucleotide ribosomal RNA is filed under the name Staphylococcus aureus. RNAcentral describes it as "partial 23S ribosomal RNA". It matches the Rfam family "Bacterial large subunit ribosomal RNA", at positions 946 to 1367 of the family's 2925-position model. The record is from RNAcentral. Lineage: Bacteria; Bacillati; Bacillota; Bacilli; Caryophanales; Staphylococcaceae.